Molecule: long non-coding RNA, 84 nt
Organism: Sinocyclocheilus anshuiensis
Lineage: Eukaryota; Metazoa; Chordata; Actinopteri; Cypriniformes; Cyprinidae
Exons: 2
Source: RefSeq, a predicted model, not a curated record
UUCUAUGGCAACACUAUCAAUGCCUAAACAGAGCCUGUGGUGGUCAGGUGGUACAGCGGUCACGUGGUACAAGUCGUAGCUCUC